UACGUAGGGGGCAAGCGUUAUCCGGAUUUACUGGGUGUAAAGGGAGCGCAGACGGCAGUGCAAGUCUGGAGUGAAAGCCCGGGGCCCAACCCCGGAACUGCUCUGGAAACUGUGCGGCUAGAGUACUGGAGGGGCAGGCGGAAUUCCUAGUGUAGCGGUGAAAUGCGUAGAUAUUAGGAGGAACACCGGUGGCGAAGGCGGCCUGCUGGACAGUAACUGACGUUGAGGCUCGAAAGCGUGGGGAGCAAACAGG
This 253-nucleotide ribosomal RNA is filed under the name uncultured bacterium. RNAcentral's name for it is "partial 16S ribosomal RNA". It matches the Rfam family "Bacterial small subunit ribosomal RNA", at positions 524 to 776 of the family's 1533-position model. The record is from RNAcentral.